Molecule: ribosomal RNA, 446 nt
Filed under: uncultured bacterium
Lineage: Bacteria
Description: partial 16S ribosomal RNA
Rfam family: Bacterial small subunit ribosomal RNA
Source: RNAcentral
CCUACGGGGGGCAGCAGUCGAGAAUCAUUCACAAUGGGGGAAACCCUGAUGGUGCGACGCCGCGUGGGGGAAUGAAGGUCUUCGGAUUGUAAACCCCUGUCAUGUGGGAGCAAAUUAAAAAGAUAGUACCACAAGAGGAAGAGCCGGCUAACUCUGUGCCAGCAGCCGCGGUAAUACAGAGGUCUCAAGCGUUGUUCGGACUCACUGGGCGUAAGGCGUGCGUAGGCUGUUUCGUAAGUCGUGUGUGAAAGGCGCGGGCUCAACCCGCGGACGGCACAUGAUACUGCGAGACUAGAGUAAUGGAGGGGGAACCGGAAUUCUCGGUGUAGCAGUGAAAUGCGUAGAUAUCGAGAGGAACACUCGUGGCGAAGGCGGGUUCCUGGACAUUAACUGACGCUGAGGCACGAAGGCCAGGGGAGCGAAAGGGAUUAGAUACCCGUGUAGUC